GAUUGCUUGCAAUCUGAUGACGAGUGGCGCACGGGUGCGUAACGCGUAUGCAAUCUACCUUUUACAGGAGAAUAGCCCAGAGAAAUUUGGAAUAAUGCUCCAUAAUAUCAUGUAUCAGCAUUGAUUUAUGAUUAAAGCUCCGGCGGUAAAAGAUGAGCAUGCGUUCUAUUAGCUAGUAGGUGAGGUAACGGCUCACCUAGGCUACGAUAGAUAGGGGCCCUGAGAGGGGGAUCCCCCACACUGGUACUGAGACACGGACCAUACCCCUACGGGAGGCAGCAGUGAGGAAUAUUGGACAACGGAGGAAACUCUGAUCCAGCCAUGCCGCGUGCAGGAUGACUGCCCUAUGGGUUGUAAACUGCUCUUAUAUAGGAAGAAACACUCCCACGUGUGGGGGCUUGACGGUACUAUAUGAAUAAGGAUCGGCUAACUCCGUGCCAGCAGCCGCGGUAAUACGGAGGAUCCAAGCGUUAUCCGGAAUCAUUGGGUUUAAAGGGUCCGCAGGCGGCCUGUUAAGUCAGAGGUGAAAUCCUACAGCUCAACUGUAGAACUGCCUUUGAUACUGAUAGGCUUGAGUUAUUGUGAAGUGGUUAGAAUGUGUGGUGUAGCGGUGAAAUGCUUAGAUAUCACACAGAAUACCCCUUGCGAAGGCAGAUCACUAACAAUAUACUGACGCUCAUGGACGAAAGCGUGGGGAGCGAACGCGAUUAGAUACCCUGGUAGUCCCCGCCGUAAAACGAUGGAUACUAACUGUUCGACCUUCGGGUUGAGGGGUCAAGCGAA
Molecule: ribosomal RNA, 783 nt
Filed under: uncultured Bacteroidota bacterium
Lineage: Bacteria; Pseudomonadati; Bacteroidota
Description: bacterial SSU rRNA
Rfam family: Bacterial small subunit ribosomal RNA
Source: RNAcentral